GCGACCUCGCGAUGGCCACGUGCCAUCAGCUUAGCGUCAUGGCGUGCCUCGCGGCGGGGCACAGGCGCACAGCCCAGGAUGGGCUCACCGUGUUUGCUAGCUCUGGGUGCCUACUGCCGAGCGAGAGUGUCCUAGCGGUGUGCGCUGGCUUAGGUUGUGCGCGACGGCGUGCGCGAUGACGGCUUCCUGAACGGCACCAGCUGCUCCAAAAGUGGCUCGCCUGCAGCAAUGUCGUCGGACAAGCCGGUGACCGAGGUCCGGUAACGACACCCCUAUCGACGUCGCCCACAUUAGCGGCACGGUCCAGGCCGGCGUGCUCGACGACGGUGCCGUGAUGACGGUGCUCGUCUCAGCAGGCGUUGCUGCUCGGCGGUGCAGGUCAAGGACGGUGAACAAAGCGGAUACGGUGAAUCUUCUUGGGAUGUGGCCGCCGCCGUUGUUGCUGUUACCGCACAGGCUAACGCUAAUUCUUCAUUGCUCCACCUGAUCCUACACCGCUCGCAAGGACUGCUGCUGAUUGCCUGUGCUCAAAAGUUAAAACACAAAUUGAGCUUCCCCCCUCUCCCACCUGAGCUUCCAAUAGCAUCCUCUUCGUCGUGGUGUCAAUGAAGGUAAGCUUAAUAGUCCAUCCAUCAGAUCUUAUGGACCACUGAAUUUUUGCACCUGAAGGUGUCCAUCACCUUGAACAUUUACUUGUGCUCUCAUGUAUAUCAGGUUCAACUGAGGACAAUGGUUGAAAGCUACGCAUCUUGCUUGAUUUUAUUUUUGUAUGUCCGAAUAGUAUAUCGUCAUUAAUUUAAGACCAUUGUUAUGAGAUAUUAUUUGAAAUGUUCAUUUGUUCGUCAGCAAGGCGCACAUACUGUGUUCGACGAUGAGAACCCAAUCCCGACUUGUUGUGCAUACCCUGCUUGCAAGAGAGCACCUUUGCAUGUCUAAUUCAUUUCCUGUAAGUUUCUAUGCUAGCAAAGUGGCAAGGUGCAAUCACACUCGGAAGUUGUAUUGGUCAAGUGGAAGAAAAGGAAGUAUCAGGCUCUGAUCCUCACUGCUUAGCUUUUCUAGAGAGGGUCAAAAGAUUUUUUGUUCUGGAACAUUUUUGUAUUUGGUGAAACCUUGGACAGAAGACCCAAUCCUGAGCUUCAUUUUCAGUUUAGCAGUGCCCGUGUGCGGUAAUGUUGCUUCGUUGAAAAGAUAUGGACAGUAGAGGCUAAGGAAAUUUUGCUUUGACAGAACACAAAGAGAAAAGGGGGAUAGAAACAGAAGUUUGCUGGCCUGGUACAGUAUUUAACUUAUUGGUUGGUGCUGUUUUUCUAAACCAGCUUACAUGCAGGUUUUUUUUUUCUCCUGAAGGAGUUAUAAGUAUGCUAACUUAACAUCAGUGGUGUUGCUGCAAACAUCAUAUUCUCUCCUACAGUUCUUUUUUUUUGUCUGAUACGUUUAGAAUUACAACUUGACAAUAAGCAUUGUCGAGACAUUUAAACAGCACUUACGGCCGAAUAAAGAAAAGAUGCAGGAAGCCGAAGGGAAGAUGACUUUCCCAGACACAUGAUCACUUGUCUUUACAGAAACGCAGUUUGCCUAUUUGCUUCUUCAGUGUUGGACUUUGUGCGCCUCAGAUGGCUGGUAAUCCGCCCAAUUUUGCUUCAGAUCCAGGUUAGCACUUUAGCGGUUCCUCUCAAUGUUUUUGGGCACUUUUUUUUAUUGACACGACCCAUAGAUGUAGUUUCUGGCCUGUGUUUAUUGCCACAUUUUCUCAAUAUUAGCAUUAUUCCACUAUACUGUUUCUGAUGUGAAUGCAUGACUGAAAAAUACAUAUGGUUGUCGUUAUGGAACUUCGAUAUGUUUCAUGUGGUCAUAAAUUGAAGAAAAUUCCUAUUAUUUUAUCACUAGUUUAUCGCUGUUUCUUAUGUAGUACUCCCUCCGUCCCAUAAUAUAAGACGUUUUUUGACACUAAAUAGUGCAUUAUGGGACGGAGGGAGUAAUUCCUAUGGUUUCUGCUACAAAACUUUGCCUUGCCCAGACCAGUAUGAAGGCACGAUGGUUGUGCGGCCUCUGCCUCCCGGGAGCUCGUGGCAGCCGGGAGCCUCUACUUCCCACUUGGAAAGAGAGACAGGUGGCGUCUCGGAAUAGUAGACGCGCAUUGGUUGAAAAAUGGAACCUUGAACCGGACCAAACAGGAAGCAGAGAGGGGGGAGAAGAAGAAGCCGGAGGCGAAAGGGAUAGGUGGGCAGAGCCGCAGAGAGAGCAAUCCCCAAAAGCUACCCUCUUCCUUCUCCUCCACAGAACUCGAUUGCCAGGCAUCUUUACUCUGUGCUGCUUCUCCCGUGGACUUGGCCCAUGGACCAUGCUUGUAGCAAUUUUAUUCUCUUUAUUAUUUUUUGGACCUGUGAUAUAGUAGCAGUGUUGAGAAUAAGGAUCUCACGAGAAUAAUGUGCUCGAUUUUUUAUGAGUCAACCCGA
Long non-coding RNA from Triticum aestivum (bread wheat), 2456 nucleotides. RefSeq lists it as uncharacterized. Lineage: Eukaryota; Viridiplantae; Streptophyta; Magnoliopsida; Poales; Poaceae. The record is from RefSeq and is a predicted model, not a curated record. The transcript is spliced from 3 exons.